Molecule: transfer RNA, 77 nt
Filed under: Alcanivorax sp. HI0044
Lineage: Bacteria; Pseudomonadati; Pseudomonadota; Gammaproteobacteria; Oceanospirillales; Alcanivoracaceae
Also listed under: 2 other names
Description: tRNA-Arg
Rfam family: tRNA
About the family: Transfer RNA (tRNA) molecules are approximately 80 nucleotides in length. Their secondary structure includes four short double-helical elements and three loops (D, anti-codon, and T loops). Further hydrogen bonds mediate the characteristic L-shaped molecular structure. tRNAs have two regions of fundamental functional importance: the anti-codon, which is responsible for specific mRNA codon recognition, and the 3' end, to which the tRNAs corresponding amino acid is attached (by aminoacyl-tRNA synthetases). tRNAs cope with the degeneracy of the genetic code in two manners: having more than one tRNA (with a specific anti-codon) for a particular amino acid; and 'wobble' base-pairing, i.e. permitting non-standard base-pairing at the 3rd anti-codon position.
Source: RNAcentral
GCACCGGUAGCUCAGCUGGAUAGAGCAACUGGCUACGAACCAGUAGGUCGGGGGUUCGACUCCCUCCCGGUGUACCA